UCUGGCGGUAAUAGCGCGGUGGUCCCACCUGACCCCAUGCCGAACUCAGAAGUGAAACGCCGUAGUGCCGAUGGUA
This 76-nucleotide ribosomal RNA is filed under the name Gilliamella sp. Fer2-1. Lineage: Bacteria; Pseudomonadati; Pseudomonadota; Gammaproteobacteria; Orbales; Orbaceae. The record is from RNAcentral.